GGUUAAGCGAACAAGCGUACACGGUGGAUGCCCUGGCAGUCAGAGGCGAUGAAGGACGUGCUAAUCUGCGAUAAGCGCCGGUAAGGUGAUAUGAACCGUUAUAACCGGCGAUUUCCGAAUGGGGAAACCCAGUGUGACUCGUCACACUAUCGUUAAGUG
This 159-nucleotide ribosomal RNA is filed under the name Leptospira borgpetersenii serovar Hardjo-bovis. Its description in RNAcentral is "partial 23S ribosomal RNA". It matches the Rfam family "Bacterial large subunit ribosomal RNA", at positions 1 to 160 of the family's 2925-position model. The record is from RNAcentral. Lineage: Bacteria; Pseudomonadati; Spirochaetota; Leptospiria; Leptospirales; Leptospiraceae.